UCAGGAGUUGGUUGACUACUUGUCCCUACUGGCCAUUGUUGUGAUACAAUUGUAGACCAACUGUUUUCUCCUGGGUAGGGAAGAGAAGAUAUACCCCUCACUUUGAAACUUCUCCUUAGCAUGUAUGGAGGAUAAGUAUUAUUCUGUGAUAUGGAACCUUCUAACUGGUUGUCCAUGGUGUUGAAAUCCAGCAGCAUUUCUGGUUGAUCUUGCCGAGCAAUUGGGAAUUCAAGUUGCUGCAGAUUGCGAUUUGAACCAUUGAAUGACUCUGGUGGUAGCCAUGUCAAGGACCUUGUAGGGCCAAAAAUGGAUUGAGCAUCGGUCGGGAUAAAUGCAUCCACAUUCUUAUAAGCUUGUUGCCUUAAACUUUCCACAUGGGCCUUUUCAGAAGGAGCUAGUGCAUCCAGAGGCUCAUACGUCUGGCCAUCAAAUGCUGCUCCCAUGAGCUUGUGCACGGAAUUGAAAAGAAGCCAAGUUCCUGCUUCAAAGUAAGUGUAUACCUUAUCAUCUAAAACACAAUUAUUUGCAUGGUUUAUAAUUAUAUGCCAUAUCUUGUUUGAAAUUCCAUCUCCAAGCACCAUUCGCAGUUCAGAUGGAUUUCGUGCAUGUGCCUGCAGAAAGUCCCUCACAGUAUG
RNAcentral lists this unclassified non-coding RNA (635 nucleotides) under Hevea brasiliensis (rubber tree). Lineage: Eukaryota; Viridiplantae; Streptophyta; Magnoliopsida; Malpighiales; Euphorbiaceae. The record is from RNAcentral.